UGCUUUGCAAGCAGGGGGUCAGCGGUUMGAUCCCGCUCAGCUCCACCAAAUCGAUUGGUGUUGAGACUGACGGUUGACGGCAUUGUCUUUUGAAGAAAAUAAAAGUUUGCAUCGGCUAAGGCCUGAUGCCUGUUCUGCAUACAUUGUGAAGAGAAGAUUGAUCUGGAGGCUUCCAGGUGUUUUGGACUUAUGUCCGGAACGUCCGAGCCCAGUUCCUGUGAACCCAUGGAUGGCCUAGCCGGCCGGAUGUGGUGGAGGGAUUGGAGGGUGGAAGGAAGCUUGUCGCUCUGGAUCGUUUGUUGUUCGUUGCCUUCGGGCUUCGUCUGAUAAGCGAUCGGAUUACCGUUGCCUGACCGCGCGGUAUCGGAUCCAAUCUCGAGAAGCUGGUCUUAAGACAGGCUGCAAGUGGGCUGCUYGGCGUAGCUCCAAUAAAGCAGACCUGUCGAACACGUCGAUGGCAUUGUUGGAUUGGCUGGGUUGUAAAAGGUAACCCGGUCUGUUGCCGUUCCUUUGGGGCGAUAGCGAGAUGAUGAGCAUUGGCAAUGAGAACGAUUAAGUGUCGUAAGGGCAUUUGGUGGAUGCCUUGGCAUGCACAGGCGAUGAAGGACGUGAUACGCUGCGAAAAGCCGU
RNAcentral lists this unclassified non-coding RNA (630 nucleotides) under Rhizobium sp. Its description in RNAcentral is "partial contains 16S-23S ribosomal RNA intergenic spacer and 23S ribosomal RNA". The record is from RNAcentral. Lineage: Bacteria; Pseudomonadati; Pseudomonadota; Alphaproteobacteria; Hyphomicrobiales; Rhizobiaceae.